Molecule: non-coding RNA, 114 nt
Organism: Acanthosepion pharaonis
Lineage: Eukaryota; Metazoa; Mollusca; Cephalopoda; Sepiida; Sepiidae
Source: the annotation of a GenBank genome assembly
UACAGCCAUAUCACGUUGAAACGUCAUAUGAUCGUACGAUUACCGAAGUUAAGCGACGUCAAGCCUGGUCAGUACCUAGAUGGGUGACUGCUUUGGAAUACCAGGUGUUGUAAG